AUUGAACGCUGGCGGCAUGCUUUACACAUGCAAGUCGAACGGUAACAGGUCUUCGGAUGCUGACGAGUGGCGAACGGGUGAGUAAUACAUCGGAACGUGCCUAGUAGUGGGGGAUAACUACUCGAAAGAGUAGCUAAUACCGCAUGAGAUCUACGGAUGAAAGCAGGGGACCUUCGGGCCUUGUGCUACUAGAGCGGCUGAUGGCAGUGUAGGUAGUAGGUGGGGUAAGGGCUUUCCAAGCCUGCGAUCUGUAGCUGGUCGGAGAGGACGACAAGCCACACUGGAAGUGAGACACGGCCCAGACUCCUACGGGAGGCCGCAGAGGGGAAUUUUGGACAAUGGGCGAAAGCCUGAUCCAGCGAUGCCGCGUGCAGGAUGAAGGCCCUCGGGUUGUAAACUGCUUUUGUACGUAACGAAAAGCCUGGGGCUAAUAUCCCCGGGUCAUGACGGUACCGUAAGAAUAAGCACCGGCUAACUACGUG
Molecule: ribosomal RNA, 482 nt
Filed under: uncultured bacterium
Lineage: Bacteria
Description: partial 16S ribosomal RNA
Rfam family: Bacterial small subunit ribosomal RNA
Source: RNAcentral